This 492-nucleotide ribosomal RNA is filed under the name uncultured bacterium. Its description in RNAcentral is "partial 16S ribosomal RNA". It matches the Rfam family "Bacterial small subunit ribosomal RNA", at positions 30 to 507 of the family's 1533-position model. The record is from RNAcentral.
AUUGAACGCUGGCGGCAUGCCUUACACAUGCAAGUCGAACGGUAACGCAGUUUCGGCUUCCUCCUAGUGGCGGACGGUUGAGUACUAGAUCGGAACACAUCCGAACGUAGGUGUUAAUGGGGCGAAAGCUUGGGUAAUAUCCCCUACUACCUCAUAAGGACUACGGGUGACCGCAGGGGCUUUUGCGGACUUACCGGCUUGAAGGAGCCGAUGUCGGAGUAGCUAGUUGGGGGGGUAAAGGCCAACCAAGGCGACGAUCCGUAGCUGGUCUGAGAGGAUGAUCAGCCACACUGGGACUGAGACACGGUCCAGACUCCUACGGGAGGCAGCAGUGGGGAAUAUUGGACAAUGGGCGCAAGCCUGAUCCAGCCAUGCCGCGUGAAGGAUGAAGGCCUUCGGGUUGUAAAGUGCUUUUGUAGGGAAAGAAAAGCAUUAGUUUAAUACACGACUGUCAUGACGGUACCGAAAGAAUAAGCACCGGCUAACUACGUG